AACGAACGCUGGCGGUAUGCUUAAUACAUGCAAGUCGAACGAGAAAGUCCCUUCGGGGACGAGUACAGUGGCGCACGGGUGAGUAACACGUAGGUGACCUAUCCAGGAGAUGGGGAUAACAGAGAGAAAUUUCUGCUAAUACCGAGUACGCUGAGUAACUUUGGAAGGAACUCAGGAAAGAUGGCCUCUUUACAAUGCUAUUGCUCUUGGCAGGGCCUGCGGGUCAUUAGUUUGUUGGUGGGGUAAUGGCCUACCAAGGCUACGAUGGCUAGCCGGUCUGAGAGGAUGAUCGGCCACACUGGAACUGAGACACGGUCCAG
This 320-nucleotide ribosomal RNA is filed under the name uncultured bacterium. Its description in RNAcentral is "bacterial SSU rRNA". It matches the Rfam family "Bacterial small subunit ribosomal RNA", at positions 29 to 334 of the family's 1533-position model. The record is from RNAcentral.